ACUUAAAUAGCUUAAUUAAGAGCAAGAUAUUGAAGAUAUCUCGGUGAUAUAAAAUCUUUAAGUA
This 64-nucleotide transfer RNA is filed under the name Dorcus tanakai. Its description in RNAcentral is "tRNA-Phe". Lineage: Eukaryota; Metazoa; Arthropoda; Insecta; Coleoptera; Lucanidae. The record is from RNAcentral.